RNAcentral lists this ribosomal RNA (1556 nucleotides) under Escherichia coli. Its description in RNAcentral is "bacterial SSU rRNA". It matches the Rfam family "Bacterial small subunit ribosomal RNA". RNAcentral also lists the same sequence under 1 other name. The record is from RNAcentral. Lineage: Bacteria; Pseudomonadati; Pseudomonadota; Gammaproteobacteria; Enterobacterales; Enterobacteriaceae.
UUAAAUUGAAGAGUUUGAUCAUGGCUCAGAUUGAACGCUGGCGGCAGGCCUAACACAUGCAAGUCGAACGGUAACAGGAAGCAGCUUGCUGCUUCGCUGACGAGUGGCGGACGGGUGAGUAAUGUCUGGGAAACUGCCUGAUGGAGGGGGAUAACUACUGGAAACGGUAGCUAAUACCGCAUAACGUCGCAAGACCAAAGAGGGGGACCUUCGGGCCUCUUGCCAUCGGAUGUGCCCAGAUGGGAUUAGCUUGUUGGUGGGGUAACGGCUCACCAAGGCGACGAUCCCUAGCUGGUCUGAGAGGAUGACCAGCCACACUGGAACUGAGACACGGUCCAGACUCCUACGGGAGGCAGCAGUGGGGAAUAUUGCACAAUGGGCGCAAGCCUGAUGCAGCCAUGCCGCGUGUAUGAAGAAGGCCUUCGGGUUGUAAAGUACUUUCAGCGGGGAGGAAGGGAGUAAAGUUAAUACCUUUGCUCAUUGACGUUACCCGCAGAAGAAGCACCGGCUAACUCCGUGCCAGCAGCCGCGGUAAUACGGAGGGUGCAAGCGUUAAUCGGAAUUACUGGGCGUAAAGCGCACGCAGGCGGUUUGUUAAGUCAGAUGUGAAAUCCCCGGGCUCAACCUGGGAACUGCAUCUGAUACUGGCAAGCUUGAGUCUCGUAGAGGGGGGUAGAAUUCCAGGUGUAGCGGUGAAAUGCGUAGAGAUCUGGAGGAAUACCGGUGGCGAAGGCGGCCCCCUGGACGAAGACUGACGCUCAGGUGCGAAAGCGUGGGGAGCAAACAGGAUUAGAUACCCUGGUAGUCCACGCCGUAAACGAUGUCGACUUGGAGGUUGUGCCCUUGAGGCGUGGCUUCCGGAGCUAACGCGUUAAGUCGACCGCCUGGGGAGUACGGCCGCAAGGUUAAAACUCAAAUGAAUUGACGGGGGCCCGCACAAGCGGUGGAGCAUGUGGUUUAAUUCGAUGCAACGCGAAGAACCUUACCUGGUCUUGACAUCCACAGAACUUUCCAGAGAUGGAUUGGUGCCUUCGGGAACUGUGAGACAGGUGCUGCAUGGCUGUCGUCAGCUCGUGUUGUGAAAUGUUGGGUUAAGUCCCGCAACGAGCGCAACCCUUAUCCUUUGUUGCCAGCGGUCCGGCCGGGAACUCAAAGGAGACUGCCAGUGAUAAACUGGAGGAAGGUGGGGAUGACGUCAAGUCAUCAUGGCCCUUACGACCAGGGCUACACACGUGCUACAAUGGCGCAUACAAAGAGAAGCGACCUCGCGAGAGCAAGCGGACCUCAUAAAGUGCGUCGUAGUCCGGAUUGGAGUCUGCAACUCGACUCCAUGAAGUCGGAAUCGCUAGUAAUCGUGGAUCAGAAUGCCACGGUGAAUACGUUCCCGGGCCUUGUACACACCGCCCGUCACACCAUGGGAGUGGGUUGCAAAAGAAGUAGGUAGCUUAACCUUCGGGAGGGCGCUUACCACUUUGUGAUUCAUGACUGGGGUGAAGUCGUAACAAGGUAACCGUAGGGGAACCUGCGGUUGGAUCACCUCCUUACCUUAAAGAAGC